Molecule: ribosomal RNA, 195 nt
Filed under: uncultured bacterium
Lineage: Bacteria
Description: partial 16S ribosomal RNA
Rfam family: Bacterial small subunit ribosomal RNA
Source: RNAcentral
GACUGGUAGUCAGUGGUGAAAUCUCACAGCUUAACUGGGAAACUGCCGUUGAUACUGCAGGUCUUGAGUAUAUUUGAAGUGGCUGGAAUAAGUAGUGUAGCGGUGAAAUGCAUAGAUAUUACUUAGAACACCAAUUGCGAAGGCAGGUCACUAAGAUUUAACUGACGCUGAGGGACGAAAGCGUGGGGAGCGAAC